GUAACACUGGAUCAAUAAGAGAUGAUCCUUACUGGAUCUCUAGGGAGAGAACAGUUUAGAACUGAUAGAGCUAUCCAGUAUAAAUAAAGCUAAAAUUAUCCCCUUCAAACACACUAGGUUCAUGUUGAUAUUCCAGCUUAUGAAGAAUAUGAAACAAUGUGUUUAUUUCACAACCAUUGGUAAGUACUGUAAGUUGAGUAGGUUAGGAUGAUUAUAGAUCAAUUUGGUGUAAAUAUACUUUAACUAUUUAUCGGCUAGUAAACCCCAUUGAUUAAUUGAUUUUAAUAAAUCUAUUAUAAACUUCCAGGAGUACAACGUACGAAGAUCUGAAGCUUCUUCGUCGCAAAUGUAAACGUAGAGAAAAACACUCCAAGCCAGGUACAACAAUAUUACGAGUCGAGUUAUACAAGAGUCCAGGGGCGGAUCUCCAAGAGGGGUGCAGGUUUUCCAUGGGGUGGUGCAUGAGAGAACCUUACUGCCCACUCUCCUCUGCAGUCUGCAACGCUACUAUCCCAACAUUGCCAUUAUGUGAGUUGAGAUGGCCAAAUCUGCAUGUUCGCCGUUCUGUUACGUUUUACAUUAUCUUUUGUUUAUAAAGUUUAUAUCGGCUUUUUAUCACGUAUGCGUGACUGGACAGUUGCUGUAGCACAGUACAGAAAAUUUGCUUGCUAAAGUACAGUAUAUUUGAAAAUAUGAUUGUAUAACAACCUCGACAUGUUUACAUAUUUAUUUUAACCAUGAUAUUUAACUAAAGCAUUCUGAGUAAUUUCUCGUGAGCUCACAAAUCGAUUAAAUCGUUUCACGCGCUAACAGUAGAAGUUCCUCUAAUCGCUAUUCGAAAAGCAGAAAAUGUUUGAUGGUCAAGCAAAUUGUUUUAGGGUGGUGCUUGGACCACGUACGGCAGAACCGCUCCUGAUUAGAGGGAUGAAUUUUAUUGUUUAUUUCAGGAUUUUUGACAUUCGGAGGUCACUGGAAUCGAAGGAGCAACACUUGUGAGAUUGCAGACUGUUUUUUUGGAGAGGGACAUAAAUACGUACCAUAGUUAUUUAUAUGUAACAUUUUAUUUUAAACACGU
Non-coding RNA from Paramuricea clavata, 1075 nucleotides. The record is from the annotation of a GenBank genome assembly. NCBI's taxonomy places the organism in Eukaryota, Metazoa, Cnidaria, Anthozoa, Malacalcyonacea, Plexauridae.